GAUGAACGCUGGCGGCGUGCCUAAUACAUGCAAGUCGAGCGAACAGACGAGGAGCUUGCUCCUCUGACGUUAGCGGCGGACGGGUGAGUAACACGUGGAUAACCUACCUAUAAGACUGGGAUAACUUCGGGAAACCGGAGCUAAUACCGGAUAAUAUAUUGAACCGCAUGGUUCAAUAGUGAAAGACGGUUUUGCUGUCACUUAUAGAUGGAUCCGCGCCGCAUUAGCUAGUUGGUAAGGUAACGGCUUACCAAGGCAACGAUGCGUAGCCGACCUGAGAGGGUGAUCGGCCACACUGGAACUGAGACACGGUCCAGACUCCUACGGGAGGCAGAAGUAGGGAAUCUUCCGCAAGGGGCGAAAGCCGGACGGAGCAACGCCGCGUGAGUGAUGAAGGUCUUCGGAUCGUAAAACUCUGUUAUUAGGGAAGAACAAAUGUGUAAGUAACUAUGCACGUCUGGACGGUACCUAAGCAGAAAGCCACGGCUAACUACG
This 495-nucleotide ribosomal RNA is filed under the name uncultured bacterium. Its description in RNAcentral is "partial 16S ribosomal RNA". It matches the Rfam family "Bacterial small subunit ribosomal RNA", at positions 28 to 505 of the family's 1533-position model. The record is from RNAcentral.